Callithrix jacchus (white-tufted-ear marmoset) is the source of this 1120-nucleotide non-coding RNA. The record is from RefSeq and is a predicted model, not a curated record. Lineage: Eukaryota; Metazoa; Chordata; Mammalia; Primates; Cebidae.
UGGGGAGGGUGGAUCAGGCUGCAGACAUGGAAGAAACAACAUGUGGGACAAGACAAGGAAGAAACCUGCAUGCAUGCAGUGAAGAAGCAAGGCUGGGAGCAGCGAAGCAAAAGGUCUGCAAACCAGAAGACAGCUGGUGGCAGAAAAUGGAAAGACUGAGAUAGAGGCUGUAAGAGAUUCAGCUCCAGACACGGAAAACACAAGGCUCUGGGCAUGAUGAAGGAAGGAUGCGGGGAAAACUGGACUGCAGGCCCAUCAGACUGCUCCAGGCUUCUCGGAUCCCUUCAGGGAGGCCGUGGCUCACCUCCUUCGCUCCACUAGCACCAGCACCUGGUUCUCACUGUCCCCCUGGAUGGCUGUGGAGGGGGUCAGUCAAGGGCAGAACCCAGCCCAUUGAUGGAACCUGGGUACCAUGACCCACUUCAUACCCACUCAGAUGUGCCCUUCCCAGACACCUUCAGGAGAACUCUUCUCUGGGCCCCCACAGCACCAAAGCAUUCUUGCCCUCUGUUGUGGCACUAGUUACACUGUUACUGCCACCUGAACGCCACCCGUAUGGGAGCUGUCUCCCUGACCCUGAAGAGCUAGGACUAAGCAUGGUUCAUCUGGGUCCCCAGGUCUCCGAGGGCUGACUUUUAGGAGGCUCACAAGACAACUGAUCAAUGGACAAGUGAAUGAUUAAAGUCAGAGGCUGUCACAGCACAGGGGACCCCACAGGCACCUGACUAUAGUUCCUGCAGCAGAGCUCUCCCCUGUGGCCUCCCUGCCUCUUCCCUCCAGCCUCUGCUUGCUCACCUCCAGGAACAAGAAGCACACUGCCCUGGAGGUGGCACUGUCCAUCCUAAGAUGGCUCUGUCACUCACUGUUAAACACUUAUUGAGCACCUAUGAAGUUCAAGGCCCACAGCUCUUCUUCUGCAGAGCUAAGAUAGGUCUGACCAACCGGGGCUGCAGAUUACACUAGGCCCUUGGUGGGACAGGCCUGCUCCAUGUCUGCUGCCCUCCAUCUAGCUUCUGCUCUCUGAACAGGGGAUCUGGGAUACAUGGGAUUGGUCAGGAGGCCCCACCUUCCCCCAUCACCCACCCUUACACCCACCCUGCUACCCCAGGCCCACCUUAGC